This 1529-nucleotide long non-coding RNA is filed under the name Bos indicus x Bos taurus (hybrid cattle). Its description in RNAcentral is "lncRNA (ENSBIXG00005002397.1)". Lineage: Eukaryota; Metazoa; Chordata; Mammalia; Artiodactyla; Bovidae. The record is from RNAcentral.
GUCCUGAAGCCCGUCUUCCCCUGCCCAGGCCAGCAGCCCAAUUGCCCAGUGCGGUGAGCCCCACCACCCCUCUCCUUUUUUCUGGAAGUUUCACAACCAUGUUCAAAUAUAAACACCAUUGUGUGAGAGCCCAGCAGCCCCUCGGGAGUCCCCUGUGGUGUGAUGGAUGAGCUGGGGACAGAGCCCACAUCAGUCAGCUCUUGCCUGGCCCCAGAGCAGGCCGUCAGCCCCGCCUGACUUGCAUCAUUUGUCUCCAAGUACCAGGGGAUUUUCGGCAGCUGUGGAGCCAAGCAUUUCAACAGGGAACAUAGUUCUGGUCUGCGGGAAAUGGAGACAUCUGCAAGUCUCCAGUGCCUGCAGUUAUGAGGUCCAAAGAGAACGGAUCAGAGAAGGAAACACAGCUACUCCGGCCUCUCCGCCUGCUCACAAGAGGGAGACACCCCAUCAGCAGAGGCGAGAGGGAAUGGCUCCUUUCCUUGUUGGCAGUGGGCUUGGAAAUAGCCACACUGGCUUCCCCCAGGCCACCUGAUACACCUCCGGCGCCUCAGGGCAGAAGUCUCAGAAACCAGGCAUGGUUUCUGACUGCCCACUUCAACUCUGGUUGGCACGAAAAAAAGAAGGGCUGUGCAGGAAUUGUCUCUGUGCCACAGUAGAAACCGAAGUAGAUUCUCAGUGCAAACUCACGUGAUUGAAUGGCUGUCGUCUCCAGAACAGACUGGAGCUGUCCUGUCUUAGAGGUGCUUCCGUUGGUGGCCUUGAACUUGGUUUGCAGACAGAAACUGCACUGGUACACCACAGGAGAUGGGGCAACUGAGGAUGGGGGUCGACGGGAGAUUGGCAGGAGCUGGGGCAGGAUUUUUUUCCUGACCCCAGCUGGUGAUCAGCUUAUACCCUAAAGCAGAAGGAUUAAUAACCAGGGUAAUUUUAUCCCUGUUAGAAUGUAACUACAGAUGUGGGCUUACUGGCUGAAACAGCUAAUCCUUUCUACAUUUGGCUCACUCAUGAAAUACGAUGCCUGAGGUUGUCUAAAGCACUGUUUGCACACGGGCCUGCGCUGGGCGCGGCCUCUCUCUCUCUCUCUCUCUCGGCUGAGUGGGCAGCUGUGGGGUGGGGUGGGGAGGCAUCUGUGCUCUGGCCUCUUGGGCAAGCUGCCUUUUCACUGGGCCGGUGAUGGAGGCGAAGGCCUGAGGCCUGUGUGUCUGUGGACUUGAAGGGUGCAGUUGAAGGAAAAUGCCAGGUGUUGGAGUGGGUGGGUGCACAGAGAGUCUGGAGAGGAGAGAAAAAAAAAAAAAAACUCUUGGAAAAAAAUCUAAGGUUCAUUUCGACCUGAAGUUCCUGAGACUCGAGGGAUGGGGAGGCAGCAGGAGGGGGAGGGAAGGGGGAGCCCCAGGUCGAGCCAGCAGGCACCCAGGGAUUUACAGCGAGGCGAUGGUUGGAGGCUGCAAAGCGAGGAGAGACGAUUAUUAAUAAUCAAAGAGCUACUGCUGCUGGAGCAGAGAUGAAAGGCUUUCCAGGCCAGUCGGUGAUGC